Nyctereutes procyonoides (raccoon dog) is the source of this 471-nucleotide long non-coding RNA. RefSeq lists it as uncharacterized. The record is from RefSeq and is a predicted model, not a curated record. The transcript has 3 exons. Lineage: Eukaryota; Metazoa; Chordata; Mammalia; Carnivora; Canidae.
UUUUGAUGCAUAUCUUUUUUUUUUUUCCUUUACAAGGAACAGAGAACCACUCAAAUUAGCUCAAAUGGAAAUGGGUUUUAUUGGAAAGUAAUAGGGGUUAUAUUAGUUUGCUAGGCUGCUACAAACUGAAUGGUUUAAACAACAGGAAUUUAUGGUUGCAGUCUGGAGGCCAGAAGUCUGAGAUGCAUAUUCAUGUCAUCUGCAAACAUAGUUCAUUUAUAUCUUCAUUGUUAUGUUUGUAAUCCCUAUUUUCUUUCCUGCUUGAAUGGUUUUGGAAUCCAAACAGUUUUUGCUUCAUAGAAUUUUUUGGGCUAUGUUUUAAUUCUAAAUAUUUCUGGAUAGUUACUGUUAUCUAUGUAUGAUCCUUUGACAUUUUUACAAAGUUUUACAAUGAAUCUGUAACAAUGAAAUGCUCAUUAUGUAAUGACUUCCUAUUUUUGUGUCAUUGACUUUAUUAAUGUGAAUCUUUUA